Non-coding RNA from Odocoileus virginianus texanus, 3865 nucleotides. The record is from RefSeq and is a predicted model, not a curated record. Lineage: Eukaryota; Metazoa; Chordata; Mammalia; Artiodactyla; Cervidae.
ACCCCAUCCAGGAAUGUCCAGGACUACCCUAACAGGUAAUUUAAUAGGUAAACACUUUCAUAUCUAAAAGUUAAAUUCAUGUUCAAAAGGGCUCACGCGCACACACACACACAAAUUCCUUCUAAUGGUAAUAAUCUCCACUAGCAGAUUUAAAUGUUUCCUUUUUUUUUUUCAUGGUGACUCAAAGUAUACCCAAAAGGUACAAAAACUGUGGAAUGUAACAUGCUUCAGGGCCAGCACAGAAGCCAUUUCCUGGUCAUAACCUCUCUCAAAAGACUCCCAGCUGGAAUUUAGGGGCCUCAGCCAGCCAGCCUGGCCAUCUCUGCUCCCCUACAGGAGCAGGGGUUAAAAGCAGAAGGAGUCUGAAACCUGAUUCCCCAGUUUAGUAACUGGUCAGCCUCAGGCAAUACACUUGACCUCUCUCCACCGCAAUUUCCUCAUCUUUAAAAUGGGCAUAAAAUAAGAUUAUUUAGAAACAGGGUUGUUGUGAAAAUUAUAUGACAAUGCAUUUAAACUCCUCACUACGUGAUAAUCCUUAGUUUUGAUUAGUUAUCUCUCCAUUUGGGUCCAUAGGGUCUCAAAUUGUCAUAAAGUGCAUAGGCAAGGCUCUGUGCUGGUCACUUAAAUCUUGUUACAGCUAAUGAGGAUAAAAGGGUAUUAAUGACCUAAUGUAGUUAUAUGACUUUUCUAGAGAAGCAACCUAUAGAGAAUACAAAAGAGAGACACAGCCAAAGCCUCAUCAAGGGAGAGACGGAAGGGACCCGCCUCUGCUGGGCAGCAGCCUGGACAUGGAGUGUUUACUGGGUGAGGUCCUUGUGCUGGGUUACAGCACCAGCAUAUAUCUUGGAAGCCUCCCCUCGUUCCAGUAAACCCUGGUCCCCAAGAAGUGUUCAAUAAACAUUUGUUCAAGUUGUUGGAUUGGGAAAGGUUGAGAGAGAGAAAAAAAGUCAGGUUCAAAGCAUUUCCUAUCACUUUUGUUAUCUUCUUGUCUGUUUCCCUUUUAAAUCUAAAGGUCCUUUGUGGACACAUUCACCAUGCAGGUACGUAGAGAGGCAUCUUACUCUCCUUAGAGAGACUGCUGAGAGAACACACAUCUAAAUUGGAGUUCAAAAUAAUAACAGCCACAUAAACGAAACAAUACAACAAAACCUUAAUUUGGACAAAAUUCCAGGCAGGCCUCCCUCCUUCCACAUCUUCAUUCAUAGAGGUUCUCUUGAAAUGGCAAGUUAGAUAAACCAGUACUUCUAUGCAAAAAGAGAUGUUCAGAGUCCUUCAAUAAAAGGAACUUCACAAUAAGAAGAAAGAGAUACGUUAUUAUGUGCACAGAAGGGCCACACACCUAGAUGGGCUGCCCCAGCUCCCACGGACAUGUCCCUUGCGGCUUUGCUCCACAGCAUCUUCUGUUGGGCAGACCCCAUCAAAACAUGAACCAAGCACCAAGGGCCACAACGUCAACUGACAAACACAAAGAGCAAAAAGAAAUCCCCAGCACAGCUUCUGUGAGGGCAGAGGAGAAAUCCCGAGGUAACCUCUGAGGUUACUGACAGCUUAACUUAAUAGACUCUUUCUAUUGUGCAGAGUAAAUAUUUUGGGUUAGGAGAAAUUCUUCUAAACCUUAAAAGUAAGUUAAAGAAGCCCUUACUACUUCUCAUCUGAAAUUUGUGCAUGGUAUGUUUGUUAGUUGAUGGCUCUAAGUGAAAUCCAAAAGAAAAUUUCCUGUCACCUGUGGAGCAUGCUGAAUUGUGUGUUCCUAAGCUUCAACCUUUGUUAGCUUGAUAAUCAAAUGUCAUAUAAGUUUCAACAUUGAAAUUGGGCUUUUUACAGUCUUUUCACACCUUAUACUUUCUCUGUAACCUUCUGAUAAUGAUUUCCUCGUUGAAACAACCUCUUGUUUGUUGGAAUGAUCCUUUGGAUCAGAUAACCUCAUAAAGAAGUCAUUUUGAUAUUUCAGAAAUAAAAGCCCUUUGGACUGAGUCCAAGAGUCACUAUCACUUUAAAACAAAUUAGUUUUUGUGACAAGUCACAUAUUAAGAGUCUUGGGUGUUUUAACUUAGGUUCUGAAGAACACUCUAUCUCUGUUACUCAAAUGUCAGAAUCCUAAACUAAGACCAAUUCACUUUUUUGGCUCUGUCCUGUCUCUAGUAUGAAAAGACACAAUAUUUUGACAGCUGAGGCACAUUCUAUAUUUAUACUUCACACAAACAAGGUACCCUUACACAUUUUAUUACCACACAAAAUAAACCUUGAAAAACAUCUUCCUAUUCCAUACAUGUCACUUGGCCAUGAGGCAUUAUUCUUGUCUCCUUAUUCUUAUUGUUAGAACAAGUUGUAUUUUAACUAAACUUUCUUUUUUUCCUGGUUUAACAGUGAUUCAUUAGAUGUCUUCUUGCCCUGCACAAUGAGAGAGCAUCUCCCUUUCUGUAUGCCGCUCCUAAUUCCUGCACCCAGAGCUCUUCACAACCAGGAACAAUUUUUUUUUUUUUAAUUUUGAGACAGAGUAUACUGGAAGAACAUGCAAACAGAUAGGAAAGGGCCUUACCCAAAGUAUGCUCUUUUUGGAACACAUUUAUUGUUAGGAUGGUACAAACCUGCCUGAUAAUUUUUUAUCUAGACUGAACUCCAGUGAGGAUUUUGUUUUAUUUGGUUUGGUCUGUCUUUUUUUUUAUUAUUAUUCUUUUUCUUUUUCUGUCUCACAAAAACCAAGUGUUCUCCAGCAAUGAGGCAACGGAAAAAAUCAAUACUUGCCAUGUACCAUGUAACCAAUAGAAUAAGGGGAAUGAUUUAUGUAUGGAUGGAUGCAGCCUGAAUCAGCUGGGGCCUCGCACAGAGAGCCAGAAAGAGAGAGAGGGAGAGACAGAAAGAGAGAGAGAGAGAACAGAGGGAGGUGGGGGGAGAUCUGAACUGCGGUGAUUAUUUGUACAGUGUGGCCAGAUUUUUUUUUUUUUCCUGCAGCAAUAAUCCCCUUCUCCAGCACUGCAGGACAGAGGGAAAGCCUGCAAUCUGUGGACUAUAUGAUAGCUCAGCUCUCCCUCCUUUCCUCAUAGUCCCGAUGCCUUAUUCAUACUAAGGUACAGUGAGAAGGGGAAGAUGAUGUAUGAUGGCCUUCAGCCCUUCAACCUUCCAGUCAACUCCACCCUAAGAAAGGCUAGUGAUGGGUCGACAAGCACUAGUUGACAGAGAGUCAAAUUAUCAACAGGAUUAAAAAAAAAAAAAUGUUCCAGCACCGCUUUCCAAGAAGACCAGCAAGAAGGGCUUACAGAGAAGAACUGCUCUACACUCCAGGAGUUUCUGCUGGAAAUAUAGUUUGGUUAACUGGAAAUCCAGGGUGCCGCAGCAUUUAAAGGUAAAACAACAGAAACUCCUUACCAUCUUCACAUUUGGUUCCACUGCCUCAGUCAAGCUGUCCAGCUGCAGGUUAAUAAACAGAAAAUCUGGAGAUGGUCCAAAUAUAGUAAGGACCUUGAAGACCAAGCUCAAGGCUGCAGGUACCACAGCCAGAAGAAAUGUACUAGUGCCCUACAAGCAGGUAUGGGCUCCCCCCACAACUAAAGGAGGUGGGAAUGAAGAAGCACGAUCACAAGAAAGGUGCUGCUGAACUAUAAGACCUUGCUCAGGCAUAGAAGUACAGGCAACAUCAGAUGAACAUAUUCAAAGACAGAUGCCCAAAUCUGCACUUCAACCAAUUUUUCUGGUAGUGUGAGGUUUUGAAGCCCUCAUCCUGACUGUUUGCAUUUGCAUCUGUGUAAGUUAUGUGAACAUGUAGAUCCUCUCAGAAAACUGUCUAGUUCUAGCCACAACUUGUGGUUUUACUGUAUGGGUUGCUUCAUUCAUUCGAGCAGAAUUUUCCUCUUGUAAGAUCUAAAUG